Nylanderia fulva is the source of this 887-nucleotide long non-coding RNA. RefSeq lists it as uncharacterized. NCBI's taxonomy places the organism in Eukaryota, Metazoa, Arthropoda, Insecta, Hymenoptera, Formicidae. The record is from RefSeq and is a predicted model, not a curated record.
UCAUGCAUAAACACACACAACUGGAACCUAAAUUUCUUUCUCUGGGGGAAAGGGAGGGCUCAUGCUCACAGUCUCGUAGAUGUCUUUGAUGAAGGGCAGAUCCUCGGGAUGAUAGAAGUCAAACAGCGAACGGCCAACCAUAUCCUGCGGUAGGUAGCCGAAGUAUUGGACUACGUCGGGAUCAACAUGAGAUAAAUGGCACGUCGAGGUGUGGCGAGUCGUGAAUACCGAAGAUAUUAUUGUUUCUUCUGGCGCUGCGGAUAACGACAAGGUCGGGGUCAUUCUCUCUCGUUGCGGGAUACCUUUGAAGAAACUGAUCCAUAAAAUUGUUGCAUACCUUUAAACCGCUCUUCCUGGGGGGAAGCGAUGCCGCUGGUGAUCUGAUCGGCAAGGGUGACCUUAUCCUUCGGGUGGACGUAAUCGAUGAAGGACCUGCCGAUCCAGGCGUCCUUGAAGUAGCCGAGGGCGGUGCAUAUCGAAGGGGUUGUAUACAACACGAGGCCGUCGUGCAUCGAAAUCACUGCGCAAAAUCCUUCCUACACAGGAUACACCCGUGAUGUAUGCAUAUACUAACGUUGGCUUGAGACGUGGAAUCAUCAGGAGGGAUCAUCCGCGAAGCGAGUCCUGCUGCAUCAGGAUCUGUGACGAUGUCGCCGUUGUGCUCCCCAGGAUCUGUUGCAUCCACCAAUUCCACAAUGGUUACCUCUUCUUGCAUUACGUCAAAAGAAAUGCUCAUUGUUAUGCGUUGCCCAGAACAUCUGAUGCACAUUUUAAUUUAUACAUGCAUCUUUGCGAGCUCCUAAUUAUGGGAUCCAACAAGAAAGCUGAGCUUCUUACAAAAAAAAGCUGAUUUUACAAAAAGUUUGCGGCGCAUAUAUAACAAUGUA